CCAAGACUUGCCCAAUGACUGUGAAGCUCAAAAUGCACCUGAAGAAAAUGUUGUGCAGGUGAGCGGCCAGCAGGACAAGGCAAGCUCAGGAACAGAGGUGAAUGUUGAAGGAGAACUAUUCAGACAGAGAAUAGUAAGAAGUAGGCUGGGCAGGAGAAGCACCCAGCACCAAACCUUACAGCGGGUGAAAUGUAUAGUGGACAUGAGACAUACCCAUUCUGAAAGUGAUUUGGGGAGACCUGCUGAGAAGCAGAGGCGGCGGCCCAUGAGGAGAUUCAACCAGAGGAGACCCAUUCCAACUCGCACUAAGUCAGACACCGAACUGGUGAAGCGAAAUAAGUCUGACUGAGGAGAGCCCAGCCCCCAGAGAGCUGCAGACAGGGCCUGGAGAGGGAUGGAGGAGGCCAUCGACCCAACGACGGCCACGGCACCAGACUCCAAGCUCCCCACUAUGCAGGCCACAGAAACAUGGUGCCCGUGGUUUGUGACCCUCCUCCUCAAAGCGAUCCGCCUCCUCCUCAAAGCGAUCCGCCUCCUCCUCAAAGCGACCCGUCUCCUCCUCAAAGUGACCCGUCUCCUCCUCAAAGCGAUCCGCCUCCUCCUCAAAGCGAGCAGCCUUCUCUUCAAAGCGGCCCGUCUCCUCAAAGUGACUCGCCUCCACAAUGACCCGCCUCCUCCUCAAAGACUUUCGCCUCCUCAAAGCGACCCUCAAAUGGCCUCUCCUAUGCCCUUAAAUAUUUUCACGUAGGUUUUAUUUGUAUAGUGCAUAUAAAUAAUAAACCUUGCCUCUCCUGUA
This is a long non-coding RNA of Brienomyrus brachyistius, 796 nucleotides long. RefSeq lists it as uncharacterized. The record is from RefSeq and is a predicted model, not a curated record. Lineage: Eukaryota; Metazoa; Chordata; Actinopteri; Osteoglossiformes; Mormyridae. The transcript has 2 exons.